GCGGUCGUGGUCCAAAGGUCAGGAUGCGGGCAUGCCACGCCCCCGGUGCCGGUUCGAUUCCGGCCGACCGCU
Molecule: transfer RNA, 72 nt
Filed under: Sandaracinaceae bacterium
Lineage: Bacteria; Pseudomonadati; Myxococcota; Polyangiales; Sandaracinaceae
Description: tRNA-Gly
Rfam family: tRNA
About the family: Transfer RNA (tRNA) molecules are approximately 80 nucleotides in length. Their secondary structure includes four short double-helical elements and three loops (D, anti-codon, and T loops).
Source: RNAcentral